Molecule: ribosomal RNA, 927 nt
Filed under: Triticum aestivum (bread wheat)
Lineage: Eukaryota; Viridiplantae; Streptophyta; Magnoliopsida; Poales; Poaceae
Description: partial small subunit ribosomal RNA
Source: RNAcentral
AUGUCUGUUCUGAAAUAUGUGGAGAAAGAAGGUAAAAAUGAAAAGAAAAGUCAGGCGCGUGGUCUUGUAGCAUAUUUUAAGACCUUUGAUUUUGUGUUUUAUUUGCACAUGAUGCUGCAUAUAUUAGGAAAUGCAAAUACUUUGUCACAUUCUUUACAAAAGAAGGAGCAAGACAUCCUAAAUGCCAUGUCAUGUGUCAAGUCCACAAGGAAUGAGCUACAAGAACUAAGUGAGAAUGGAUGGGACUCACUGAUACGGAAGGCAUAUUCAUUUUGUGAAGAACAUCACAUUGAGAAGGCGGAUAUGCAGGAGCAAUAUAUCAAUCGACACAAACCAAGACAAAAAACUAAUAAGACAAACCUCCAGCAUUACCGAGUAGAGUGUCUUAAUUUUGUCAUUGACUGUCAACUUCAAGAGUUUGAUGACCGUUUCAAUGAGGUAAAUUCUGCAUUACUUGGUCACAUGGCUUCUUUCAACCCAAACAAUGGAUUUGUUGCUUUUAACUUGGAUAGCUUAGUGAAGCUAGCUGAGUUUUAUCCAGAUGAUUUUGAUUCAAAAAAAAUGGAUGAUCUUGGUCCUGAACUGCGCACUUGCAUUGAUAAUGUGCGGGCGGAUGAAAGGUUUGCUAAUUUGGACGGGAUUGCUGAUCUUGUGAAGUUAAUGAUGCAGACAAAUAAACAUGUUUCUUUUCCCUUGGUCUAUCAUCUUCUAAAGUUAGUAUUCAUAUUACCAGUUGCAACUGCAUCUGUGGAGAGAUGCUUUUCAGCUAUCAAUGUUGUCAAGAAAAAGUUGCACAACAAAAUUGGUGAUCAGUUCAUUAGUGAUUGUCUAAUUUGCUAUGUGGAGAAAGAUAUGUUUUCUCCCAUUAGUAAUGAUGAUGUGUUUGAUCUUUUUAAGGCGAUAAAAGAUCGAAAAGGGAAGCUCUAA